AUUGAACGCUGGCGGCAGGCCUAACACAUGCAAGUCGAGCGGAUGAAGGGAGCUUGCUCCUGGAUUCAGCGGCGGACGGGUGAGUAAUGCCUAGGAAUCGGCCUGGUAGUGGGGGAUAACGUCCGGAAACGGGCGCUAAUACCGCAUACGUCCUGAGGGAGAAAGUGGGGGAUCUUCGGACCUAAGGCAUUAAGAUGGGCCUAGGUCGGAUUAGCUAGUUGGUGGGGUAAGGGCCUACCAAGGCGACGAUCCGUAACUGGUCUGAGAGGAUGAUCAGUCACACUGGAACUGAGACACGGUCCAGACUCCUACGGGAGGCAGCAGUGGGGAAUAUUGGACAAUGGGCGAAAUCCUGAUCCAGCCAUGCCGCGUGUGUGAAGAAGGUCUUCGGAUUGUAAAGCACUUUAAGUUGGGAGGAAGGGCAGUAAGUUAAUACCUUGCUGUUUUGACGUUACCAACAGAAUAAGCACCGGCUAACUUCGUG
This 484-nucleotide ribosomal RNA is filed under the name uncultured bacterium. Its description in RNAcentral is "partial 16S ribosomal RNA". It matches the Rfam family "Bacterial small subunit ribosomal RNA", at positions 30 to 507 of the family's 1533-position model. The record is from RNAcentral.